GACGAACGCUGGCGGCGUGCUUAACACAUGCAAGUCGAACGGUGAAGCUCCAGCUUGCUGGAGUGGAUCAGUGGCGAACGGGUGAGUAACACGUGAGCAACCUGCCCCUGACUCUGGAAUAAGCGCUGGAAACGGCGUCUAAUACUGGAUACGAGAAGGGUCCGCAUGGGCACUUUCUGGAAAGUUUUUCGGUUGGGGAUGGGCUCGCGGCCUAUCAGCUUGUUGGUGAGGUAAUGGCUCACCAAGGCGACGACGGGUAGCCGGCCUGAGAGGGCGACCGGCCACACUGGGACUGAGACACGGCCCAGACUCCUACGGGAGGCAGCAGUGGGGAAUAUUGCACAAUGGGCGAAAGCCUGAUGCAGCGACGCCGCGUGCGGGAUGACGGCCUUCGGGUUGUAAACCUCUUUCAGCAGGGAAGAAGCGAAAGUGACGGUACCUGCAGAAGAAGCACCGGCUAACUACGUG
This 468-nucleotide ribosomal RNA is filed under the name uncultured bacterium. Its description in RNAcentral is "partial 16S ribosomal RNA". It matches the Rfam family "Bacterial small subunit ribosomal RNA", at positions 28 to 507 of the family's 1533-position model. The record is from RNAcentral.